AAGUCGCAACAAGGUUUCCGUAGGUGAACCUGCGGAAGGAUCAUUAACACGUAUCCAACGUUAAACAACCCUGUGAACCUUCAGACAGUUCUUCUAGCCCACGCGGAACAGCAAUCCCGGUAAAUCAAGUGGCGGAAAGUUUUUUGAUUCGGGACCUCUGUCCGAGUGGUAUCAAGUUAGAAUCCGAACUUGAGCAGUGGCAUGGGGGACUGAUAAGGAUCUAGCGGUCGAUCACCGAUCAGCAGACAUGUCACAGGGCUUUACGCCCCUUCGUUCACACCUUGCCUAUUUAAGCCCCGCGGAAACGCCUGGGCUAAAAACCGAACAACUGUUAACAAUGUAUAUCUUGGUUCUC
This 355-nucleotide unclassified non-coding RNA is filed under the name fungal sp. RNAcentral's name for it is "partial internal transcribed spacer region". The stretch from base 1 to 46 matches the Rfam family "Eukaryotic small subunit ribosomal RNA", at positions 1786 to 1831 of the family's 1831-position model. The record is from RNAcentral. Lineage: Eukaryota; Fungi.